Molecule: long non-coding RNA, 326 nt
Organism: Carcharodon carcharias (great white shark)
Lineage: Eukaryota; Metazoa; Chordata; Chondrichthyes; Lamniformes; Lamnidae
Exons: 3
Source: RefSeq, a predicted model, not a curated record
GUAGACAGAAGAGGAAAUGGAGGAAGAGGAGGACGCUUGAGACCAAGUCCAGGCACUGGACACCCAGGUCCAGUGAGGAUAAAGCCCCAAUCUUCUGAACUCAGAUGAUGGACCAAGUAUGUAAUGAGAACAAGACAUACACCAAGAAAACAACUACAAGCCACAGAGCUUAGAUUCUAACUGUACAGAAAGAUGAAAGAAAACAUGACCAAGAAACAGAUUACUGGAUACAUAGUCUUUUGGAAAGACCUCGGCAGGACAAUUGGUGUCUAUGAGGAGAGGCAGAAGUCUGGAUUUGUCCCCUCUAUUGAGUGUUCAACAGAAAC